UGCCGGAGCCAUACACAGCCGCUUGGCCGCCGCUCCCGGCCUUCGGCCGCCGCCACCUUGGAUCCCUCCGGUUCCGUUGGUAUUCGUCGAGGCGCCGGAAGAAGCCAAACGGCGUGGCCUGGCGCCACCACCGGUCUGGGCAUGGGGUGGGGAAAGUGAGCGUAUGGAUCGAUCCACUGUCACCGAGGCUAUGAGGCUUUGGUGUCUGGUUCCAAUCUUGUUAUAGACUCAUAGGCAACUAGAUUUGAUGGUGUUUACGAACUAGUACGUCAGUUUAAUGCUCUUCAUAGUCGAUUUAAUCCGCUAUGAUAGCUCCUGCUUGAUGAAAGUGAGUUAACUUUUCUCCCAAUUUAUGUGCGCGCUUCGUAGUUGAUCUAAUUACCCGGUGCAUGGUUGAGUGAAAAUUAUUACUACUACAGUUUCUCUAUUAUGUGGACUUUGACAAGAUGACACUCCUUUCCUUUGCCUUUGCCCCAUAAUCACCACUUCCUUUUUCUUGGUAAAAAUGAUCACAUGAUGGGCCCAUGAGUCUAUCGACUAGUCUAGACUAGUUGCUCGGCUAGUCUAUGAGUCUUAACUUCACUGUCGACUAGCUUGUUCGGCUUGACUAGUUCGUAGAGUUGAGUGGUCGAGCGACUAGUCAUGGACUGAUCUAGAUUAGUUGUUGUAUUUGAGUCGAUCGACUCAAUUUGGGCAUAAAUAAGUGAGGGCGCUCAGCCUGCGGGAUGGAAAGUUAGAACAAUAGCUAUUUUCAGGCUUGCACUAGAACGAGCCGCCUCACCUGGAACCAGGCCGCCGCCGCCAUCCGCCAUCCGCUGACCAUCCGCGGCCGGCGGUGGCUAGAAGCAUUGCGGCGCCCUCCCUCCGCUGGUUCUGCGCCUAUCUGGUUGCUAUAUAUGUACUAGCUACUGCUGAAGUACAUGUCAACUAGUCGAGUAGUAGUCUAGACUAGUCACGACUAGUCUAUAAGCUGGUACCCUGACGACUCGACUCGGCUUGACUCGUCGACUCGUAAUCCUUGGGUGGGAUAUUCUGAGCAUGAUAAGGUUGUACCACCCUCCGCUACUUCACGUCUUCACCUAAAACAAACAACUAUUUCUCUUUCCAUCCAUCAAGAAAGAAGGUCGGAAAACUGCCAACAGGUACUACUUCUCAACGUUUGGGUAUUUUUCUUAGAUAAUUAGGUUUUGUUACCAAUCCAUCCAGAGCUGCGCCCUCCGGCUUCAUGGUGCACUCUGCCUACCCAAACACGCUAGUGCUCCUCCUCUACUCUCAUCUAAUGACCAUAGUCUAGGGUUUGUAAGUGCAUUAGCGAUGGAGUUUGAGAGAGUGGGAGGAAAAUAAGAGAGAAACUGACCUAGAUACGGUGGGAAGGAUGCGACGUGGUCCGGUGGUGAGGCGAGCUCGAAGGCGAUGGGCAUGACAUGGCAGUGGUCUUCUCUCUUCCUGUUACUCAGUACAUGAGCGAGUGGCUCAAGCUUGUGACCCAAAUCGAUCUAUUGAAUUGGCCAGAACUAGAGGCUAGGAGUGUGUCACUUUGUCAAAUUGCUUUAUUAGCUGUAACACGGUCGUAUUGUUGGCAAUGAGUAACACCUAGUAGAACACGACUGCGUUGAUGGGUCAAUGAGGUAGUCCUGCACAUACAGGUUACCUUUGGUUGCCAAUUCCAUAACAUGGACCCAACGGCCAACAAAGUUAAUAUUACUCCUAGCCUCUAGUUUCAUUACUAAUAUCUCUAGCAUUUUUUUCUCUCAAUAUAAUUCGACAUUUUGUUGAGAUUGUAUGCAUAUCUCAUUUACAUAUCCAAGAGUACGUGCUGAAAGAAUUAAUAAAUAACUUCUUCAAUUUUUUUGAUUACCUAAGAAUGUAACUAUUCAUCAUAUUUGUUAAUUGUGGUAACUAACUGGUACAAUCAAAAAAUAAAAUUAUGAAGAACCUUCUGCGGUGGCCUGGUGAUAAAAACAGAGGCAAACCGUAGUGAAAACCUGAUGCUGCCAUUACAAUUUACAUUUUUGGUAUGUUACAUGCAUGCAUUGCCUUAAGUUUCCCUCAUAUGGUCCUCUUCCCUACAUGCUAAUAGCCUCUUCUGAUUCGCCGAUAGCCCAAAACUAUGUGGCCUCAUCAUCACCUGCUGCUAUCCAUGUUCAUCUCAUCUGACCCAGGAUCUGAGUAGAGCAAAGGCAUCAGUGGCUUUUCCAGGUCCAGAUCAUAACUCUCCUGUUACUUGACUUGUUUUGUUACAACCAUGGAAGAUUCCUAUGGUGUUGAUACAUCAUCAUUGUUGAAACUGUAUGGUGCGGAGCUCGAGCAGGUUGUGCUCGUGCUGCUGACCUGGGCGGCUUCAUACUCCUGUCCAAGACUCCGCAGCCUGCUCAGCUCGGGCAAGAUCUCUUUCCCAAGAUCUGGCCUAUCCUUCUUCCGUAGCUCUGCGCACUUCAAAGCUAGCUGUGUGAAUGCCAGGGCCUCUUCCACUGGCCAGUCCGUCACCGUCGGGUCAAGUACCUCUUGGAAAGCUCCUUUCUCGAUGGCAUGCUCGACUUGGUGCGUGAGGCCCAUGGGUGACCUGGCCGUGAUGAUUUGGAGCAGCAGGAUACCGAACGAGUAUAUGUCGGACUUGGUGGUGAGCAUGCCUGUCUGCUGGUACUCAGGGUCAAUGUAGCAGAAUGUGCCGGCUGUGGAUGUCAUCCUGUACUGUGUGACUUCAGCUAUGGACUGUGGCACCAGCCUUGCGAGGCCGACGUCUGCAAUCUUGCUGACAAAGUUGUGGUCCAGGAGGAUGUUACCAGGCUUCAGAUCUCUGUGGACAAGUGGUUCUGGCUUUGCUUGGUGGAGGAAGAGAAGGCCGGUAGCGAUGUCGGCAGCGAUCCUGAAGCGGAUGUUCCAUGGGAUUGGUUUGGUGUUGCCUUUUCUACAGAGCCGAUCUUCUAGGCUUCCGUAGUCCAUGUACUCGUACACCAGGCAGCCAUACUCUGGGCAAGCUCCAAGCAAUAGGACCAUGUUUGGAUGCCGCAUACUGCUAAGUAUUUCAAUCUGUAAAGUAUUAAUUAGCAUGCAAUUAGAUUAAUCAUGGCUUCAUUUACAUAAUUAAAUUGCAGCUAAAGAAUGAAUUGGUAAAUAAGGACCAGUACAAGGAUAUGGUGUCCCCCUAAACACGGGAAAGAAAACCUACUUUCUGAUAGUGAACAUAACUGUUUCCCGUAAAAUAAACGAUAAUUGCGUGGCGUAAUUGCAAUGGUUUUUUUUUAUAGUUAUAGUAAUAGCCAGGUACUCAAAGUAGCGCUGAAUAGACUGAAAAGUAAAAACUUAAUAGGUAUAACUGCAUAAAUAUGAAGGAUAUCACAAUAUCUGGUUGCUGCAAUGCUGUAUCUUAUAUACCUCUUGCUGAAAUUGUUGCCUCCCCUGUGAUGCGUCUGGUCUUAGGAUUUUAAUAGCGACAUUAGUGUGAUCCAACACAGCUUUAUAAACUGGUCCAUAUCCACCUUCGCCUAUCUUGAGUGCCCUGUCAAACUUAUGUGUGGCAGCUUCAAUAUCAUCAAUGGAAUACCUCCUGUACCGGAGAUCUGUGUUCGUUGCUCUCCUUCUCUCCUCCGACUCACGCUUUGCCUUCCAUUCUGCUCUCAAUCUCUUUUGCGCUUCAAGCUCUGCAAUUUUUUGGGCAGCUUCAGCUGCCUCCAGCGCGGCUCUGCACUUUGCCUUCUCCAUUUCAACAAGUGCAAGAGCUUCUUCUUCUGAACUCCUUAGUUCCUGGUACAUUUUAGACUCUUCCACCUUUAUCUGGGACAGCUGAGCCGCCUGCAGUUAGAUUAUUAUUAAUUAUAUCGCGAGAGUUUAGUUGUCUCGGGAAGUGCUUGGUGCUUAUAGUUUAGUCUAUUUAUGUAGAAGUAAACAGUACCUUCUGUUUAGCAUCAAUUGCUUCCUUACAGGCAGUGUUAUACAUUUCCAUUGUCUGCUUCAACUCUAGUCUCAGUCGUCUCAUCUCAGCUUCUACAUCCUUCUGUGUUCAAGUGAAACAAAAUAUGAAUUAAUGAUCUAAUACUUCAUGAGUUCAAAUCAAUGUCCAGGUGCAAAGUUUUUAUUGAUUCUAGAAACUAGAUGUUUACAAUGCUCUUACCCCGGUUGAGCUUAGGCUUUCCAUGGAUACAUACGAUGAUAGUUCCAUCGAAUCAGCGUAGUCCAUGGAAUUCAACUCCAUGCUCAUGGGAAAAUCAACGUCAUCUGAAAAAGAGCUGCGAGUAACAGAAGGCCUCGGUGGUGCGAUGAAGUCUAUGUAGUCGUCGAAAUCCUUCUGGGGUGCUUGCCUUCCAGAUAGGAGAUGCCUAUCUCUCGUUGGAGCUUUUGCAUAGGCAGAUAGUCGGUCCACCGAUGUUCUACUUGUUCUUGGUGAUGAUGGAUUAGAAAAUUUCCUCCAGUCUCUUGACGAUCUAUUUUACAAAACAAGAUUGUUGAUUAUAAUUACGUUAACAAGACGCAUGUUUCUGAGCGUGUUCGAAAAAAGUUGCAUUAACAAGCUAUUCAGUUAAAACAUGGGUGUUAACACUUAACAAGUUCUGGUAAGCAGACACAUCUGACCGAUCAGAUAAUUUUUUUAAUCUAUAAGUAUGUAAGUGUUUACAUUGUGGCUACCCAUUUAGCUUCAGGAACACGCAGUGUACUUAUUGAAGUGCUAUUUUUCUUCUUUACAAACUUACCUUGCAAAUGCAUCGGAUUCUAUGUUUGGUUGGGAGGUUUGCUUCGGAGGAAGAGUAGUAAAGGGUGCUGGACCUUUGGCUGCCUUGACUUGGAUGGCCUUCCCUUUAUGUAUUACAUGUACCGUGCAGUAAUCAGGCGCCAUCUUCAUCAAGCAUGUUGGUACAUCAGGAUUUCUAAAUCUUCUGCACAGUGUAAAGGUCAUGCCUGUGUUCAGUAUAGGUAUCAAAGGAAUGUAAUGUGGCACAGCCAUGGAGAAUGUAUGAGUAUGUACCUGAUGAAUGUGUUCCUUGUUGAUGCCCCAACUACGAUAUCUGUGAUGGCGUUACCAGUAGCAUAAUCAAUUAUUGCUUUGGAGAUAUCAGUACCAUCCAAGAUCACCUCAUUCAGAUGCAUCUGCGAUUUGCAAUGGCAGCCUAAGUACUUUUCAGCAUAUAAUGAGAAGGAGAAAUGUACCAACCAUUCUGGGUACUUUGGUUGGUCCUGACAUGGACCAACUGGAGGGUGCUGCCCCUUGCCAGUAGCCGAUCUACCGCCCAUUUCGCCGCCUGCUGGCUGUUCUUGUCCCUGUCAACGGCCACGAUGGUCGUGCUGUCCUUCCCAUCCUCAGGCUCCCCGCUGUGCGACGCUGUCGAGAAGGCCGAGAGGUACAUUUCUAAGCUCUCCGACCAACAAAUGAAGUAACAGAUGACACAAAUCGGUACAGUGGAGGGGAGAGAGAGACAAAAGGGGAAUUUUGUCCCUCCUCCUCUCCCUUUGCUUAUUUCUCCUUGGAUCUCUCGUCGUUCCUUACUGCUGCGACCAAACUGGCUGAAACUGCAAUGUUGUUUUAGAAAGUUUGUGUUGUUUUUCCAAGUUUGGGCGCAGCGUUGUCGUGAGAAUCUUCUUAUUUUUGUGUGGCUCCUGUUUCCCUGGUUGUUAUGUAAGGGGGGUGUGUAGGUGGAGGACGACCUGUUCAAUGCCACCUUGUUGCUUGUUGCUAAGAAUAGCAGCUGAUGGCGCUAGCUGAAUUCCUUCUGAGUUGUUUGUCGACACAACUAUUUUGAAUGUAGUUUACCUUAUGCAUCUGAAAUAUACCAGGUGGUCGUUGCUGCAAAAAUUGUUUGCAGUAUCUAUCUAUGGCAGGUUGGGCGAUGCAUAAAUAUUUGGUAAUAGUUUCUAUAUACUCCAGUAUGUACCUUAUGGCAAUGAAUAUUUGAGAUGACAUGGCCGCAACAGAAACUGAGAUUUGAUAGCUCUACUUGGAGUUAGUUGGAUCACUUGUCCAGAUACUAUCAUAUAUAAUCAAGGUUUGUAGAUAGCUGGUCACGCCUGCCGCGGCAAUUGUCUAGAUAGUAACCGAAAGACACCGAAUAAUAGAGGUGAUGUGGGGCUGGAGAGGAGAAAAUCAGUAUUGGUUACAAUUACAGGUGUAACCUCAAGUUACAUAGGUCUCACUUGGGAUAUUUUUCAAUAAGUUUGACACGGCCUGUUGGAAAAAAAUGAGUAAGAGAUUUCCUGUCCCUCCUGUAAUUUGACCAACUUUUAGAACAUUUUAUGUGUUUCCUGUUUGAAAUUUGACCAAAUUUUCUCAUUCUUUGCAGGCACACGGUGGUCUCUCCUGUGAAUUUCCGUAGUGUGGAUGCAUCGUCUUUUCAUGCUCUAAUCUCGUGUAAACAUGCAUGCUCAUGCAACUUGGGAGGUGAUGCCUUCAGAGUGGAAUCUGCCAUCUAAUGAUAAGUUGAUAGAUACAGGAGAAAUUAUUUGUUCACCAUUAUAAAGGAAUGUAUUCACCUGGAAAUAUCUGCAAAGGAAACUAAACGAUUCAUCCGAAAAUUAGGAGCUCAUUCCACAAGUAAUGUUAUUUUAUGAGGAUUGCAGUUUAUUACGGUUUUGUGUGGCUCCUGCUUCCCUGGUUGUGUUAAGUAAGGGGUGUCUAGGUGGAGGACGACUUGUUCAAUGCCACCUUGUUGCUAAGAAUAGCAGGUGACAAGGUAUCACUGGGCCACUAGCUAAGUUCCUUCGAAAUUGUUUGUCAACAUGGCUACUUUGAAUGUAGUUACCUCAUGCAUUUGCAAAAUACCAGAUGUGGUUGCACGAAUUGUUGCAGUGUCUAUCUAUGGCAGGUUUAUGCGUACAUUUGGUAAUAGCUGCCAUAUAGGAAAUUACCUGUAUCUACCAAAUGUGUACCUUAUGACAAUGAAUAAUUGAGAUGGCAUGGCUGAAAUA
Lolium rigidum is the source of this 6894-nucleotide long non-coding RNA. RefSeq lists it as uncharacterized. The record is from RefSeq and is a predicted model, not a curated record. Lineage: Eukaryota; Viridiplantae; Streptophyta; Magnoliopsida; Poales; Poaceae. The transcript is spliced from 3 exons.